AGUGAACGCUGGCGGUAGGCCUAACACAUGCAAGUCGAACGGCAGCACAGGAGAGCUUGCUCUCUGGGUGGCGAGUGGCGGACGGGUGAGGAAUACAUCGGAAUCUACUCUGUCGUGUGGGAUAACGUAGGGAAACUUACGCUAAUACCGCAUACGACCUACGGGUGAAAGCAGGGGACCUUCGGGCCUUGCGCGAUUGAAUGAGCCGAUGUCGGAUUAGCUAGUUGGCGGGGUAAAGGCCCACCAAGGAGACGAUCCGUAGCUGGUCUGAGAGGAUGAUCAGCCACACUGGAACUGAGACACGGUCCAGACUCCUACGGGAGGCAGCAGUGGGGAAUAUUGGACAAUGGGCGCAAGCCUGAUCCAGCCAUACCGCGUGGGUGAAGAAGGCCUUCGGGUUGUAAAGCCCUUUUGUUGGGAAAGAAAUCCAGCUGGCUAAUACCCGGUUGGGAUGACGGUACCCAAAGAAUAAGCACCGGCUAACUUCGUGCCAGCAGCCGCCGUAA
Molecule: ribosomal RNA, 506 nt
Filed under: uncultured bacterium
Lineage: Bacteria
Description: partial 16S ribosomal RNA
Rfam family: Bacterial small subunit ribosomal RNA
Source: RNAcentral